This 85-nucleotide transfer RNA is filed under the name Rhodothalassium salexigens DSM 2132. It matches the Rfam family "tRNA". From Rfam's summary of the family: Transfer RNA (tRNA) molecules are approximately 80 nucleotides in length. Their secondary structure includes four short double-helical elements and three loops (D, anti-codon, and T loops). Further hydrogen bonds mediate the characteristic L-shaped molecular structure. tRNAs have two regions of fundamental functional importance: the anti-codon, which is responsible for specific mRNA codon recognition, and the 3' end, to which the tRNAs corresponding amino acid is attached (by aminoacyl-tRNA synthetases). tRNAs cope with the degeneracy of the genetic code in two manners: having more than one tRNA (with a specific anti-codon) for a particular amino acid; and 'wobble' base-pairing, i.e. permitting non-standard base-pairing at the 3rd anti-codon position. The record is from Rfam by way of RNAcentral. Lineage: Bacteria; Pseudomonadati; Pseudomonadota; Alphaproteobacteria; Rhodothalassiales; Rhodothalassiaceae.
GGAUGGGUGGCAGAGUGGUCGAUUGCAGCGGUCUUGAAAACCGCCGAGGCGCAAGCCUCCGUGGGUUCGAAUCCCACCCCAUCCG